RNAcentral lists this ribosomal RNA (254 nucleotides) under uncultured bacterium. Its description in RNAcentral is "partial 16S ribosomal RNA". It matches the Rfam family "Bacterial small subunit ribosomal RNA", at positions 102 to 353 of the family's 1533-position model. The record is from RNAcentral.
ACGGGUGAGUAACGCGUGAGUAACCUGCCUUCAAGAGGGGGAUAACAUUCUGAAAAGAAUGCUAAUACCGCAUGACAUAUCGGAACCACAUGGUUUUGAUAUCAAAGAUUUUAUCGCUUGAAGAUGGACUCGCGUCCGAUUAGUUAGUUGGUGAGGUAACGGCUCACCAAGACCGCGAUCGGUAGCCGGACUGAGGGGUUGAACGGCCACAUUGGGACUGAGACACGGCCCAGACUCCUACGGGAGGCAGCAUG